This is a non-coding RNA of Podarcis lilfordi (Lilford's wall lizard), 73 nucleotides long. NCBI's taxonomy places the organism in Eukaryota, Metazoa, Chordata, Lepidosauria, Squamata, Lacertidae. The record is from the annotation of a GenBank genome assembly.
GCCCCUGUUGCUCAAUUGGUAGAACAUGAGACUUCUAAUCUGAGGGUCGUGGGUUUGAACCCCACGUUGGGCA